GGAAUAUUGGACAAUGGGCGAAAGCCUGAUCCAGCCAUGCCGCGUGUGUGAAGAAGGUCUUCGGAUUGUAAAGCACUUUAAGUUGGGAGGAAGGGCUGUUACCUAAUACGUGACAGUUUUGACGUUACCAACAGAAUAAGCACCGGCUAACUUCGUGCCAGCAGCCGCGGUAAUACGAAGGGUGCAAGCGUUAAUCGGAAUUACUGGGCGUAAAGCGCGCGUAGGCGGUUUGAUAAGUUGGAUGUGAAAGCCCCGGGCUCAACCUGGGAAUUGCAUCCAAAACUGUCUGACUAGAGUACGGUAGAGGGUGGUGGAAUUUCCUGUGUAGCGGUGAAAUGCGUAGAUAUAGGAAGGAACAUCAGUGGCGAAGGCGACCACCUGGACUGAUACUGACGCUGAGGUGCGAAAGCGUGGGGAGCAAA
This 422-nucleotide ribosomal RNA is filed under the name uncultured bacterium. RNAcentral's name for it is "bacterial SSU rRNA". It matches the Rfam family "Bacterial small subunit ribosomal RNA", at positions 358 to 772 of the family's 1533-position model. The record is from RNAcentral.